This is a long non-coding RNA of Lagenorhynchus albirostris (white-beaked dolphin), 251 nucleotides long. RefSeq lists it as uncharacterized. The transcript is spliced from 3 exons. The record is from RefSeq and is a predicted model, not a curated record. Lineage: Eukaryota; Metazoa; Chordata; Mammalia; Artiodactyla; Delphinidae.
CUUCAGCUCCCAUUGGAUCAACCCAACCAGAAGACAGAAGGCAAAGGAUUCCAGGUGAUACAGUCUGUAGAGGUCAGCCUCCUGGGGAACAAGGAAUCACCUCAGGAUGCACGCGGCAUGAAAGAGGUCCAGAAGCCCUUAUGUGCUCACGGUGAGGAAAAGAGGAGAUUGCUGAGAUGCAGGAAAAACAAUCCAGUGAGCAAAGUGUCAUCAAUGCAGUGGCCCAGUGUGAUGCUUUGUGGACUCUCAAG